This is a long non-coding RNA of Equus caballus (horse), 2637 nucleotides long. The record is from Ensembl. Lineage: Eukaryota; Metazoa; Chordata; Mammalia; Perissodactyla; Equidae.
CAUACAUUAAGCUCUGCCAUGUGCUAGUACACUCUCUGGAGAGACUGGUGAGCAACACAGAUACAGUGGCUGACCGCAUGGAACUUAAGAUCUGUUCAUGCGGCUGCCAUAACAAAUCAGCAUGAACUUGGUAGCUUAAAACAACAGAAACUUACUCUCUCACAGCUCUGGAGGUCUUAAGUUCAAAGUCAAGGUGUCAGUGGGCUGCGCUCCCUCCAUCACUCUAGGGGAGCAUCCUUUCUUGCCUCUUCCAGCUUCUGGUGGCUCCAGAUGUUCCUUGGCUUAUGGCUGCAUCACUCCAGUCUCUGUCUCUGACUUCCCAUGACUAUCUCCUCUUUUCCCUGUGUGUCUUUCCUCUGGGUGUCUCUUAUAAAGGACAUUUAUCACAGGGUUUAGGGCCCAUGGGGAUAAUCCAGGAUGAUCUCAAGUUCCUUAAUUAUACCUGCAAAGACUCUUCUUCCAAAUAAGGUCACAUUGACAGGUUUCCAAGGUUAGGACAUGGACAUAUCUCUUCGGGGGCCACCAUUUAACUCACUGCAGUUGGUGAACAGGUUAAGAGUGUGGAGCAUGUUACAAAGGGGGCUCAUAGGGUGCUCAAGAAAAGGGUGCAACAACCUCUUCUUUGGGGGAAGGCUUGUCAGAGGAAGUGACAUUGUUUGAAAUCAGAAGGAAGAACAUUACAGAGCGGUGGAUCAUUACAAAGGAAGGAAGACGGAGCUCUAUGAGAUGGGGCACCUCCCAGGGAAGGAAGGGGAGGCAAGCUGGGCUGGGACAGAGAGGGUCUGUGUGUGGGAAGGGGCGAAGUGGGCUGGAGAGACAGGUGGGUUCUGAUCACAGGGCCCCAUACCACCUUGUGGUUUUAUAUGGAGUAAAAUGAUCUGAUUUGCAUUUUUAAAAGAUUUCCCUGGCUCCUCCUUUUUCCUCCCCAGCCUCCAACGGCCUAAUUUUCUGAUGAUCGCCAACAAUAUUGUCAGUGGGAAAUCCCUGACAAUCCCAGGAGGCUCAGGUGAGGGCAGGUGCAGGUUGGAACGCAUCAAACGCCCCCUUAUUAGCAUCUAAUUUGCACUCUCUCCCACCCCUGUUCCCCAUCUGCCUUAAUUUUGGUUUUGCAAAUUGUAAAGCAGUAAAAUAUUACCUCAAGGCCUAAGAUACCAAAGGCAAUUUAAUAAUGUGAAAAAAUAAGAGGUGUUUUUUGCUGUUCUGACAUUUAUUCUUCCUGGACUCGUUAUUUUUCCUAAUGAACGUUUCUUUUUCUCUUUCUGUUUUUUCUCUUUCUCUUUCUGCUUAUCCGUCUUAACACAUGCCAUUUACCACCUCUGACCUGCUGAUUAGGGGGCUGGGCACCGGCAUACCUCUCUGUCAGGGAAGGAGAGGAAAAAUUGCGAAGUAAAUGGCGAGAUGCUGCAGGAUAGCGAGCAGGAAACUCUGCCGUGUUUAACAGAAUGCGGGACCCAAAUGAAAUGCGAGGCCCCCAGCGAGGUGCGGCUGAGCCCCGGGCAGGUGCGGGCGCCACGUGACUGAUUAUUCAAAUUGGCCGAUGAUUAACUCGGUUUAUAUUGAUGCAAAUAAUCUUGCUGGAGCCGGCCACGGCUAAUGCAUUUUGGAACUGUGGUUUUCCAUCGAUAGCACAAAAUAGUGUAGAGGAAAGCUAUUUUCAUAAUAUUAAUAAUGGAAUUACAGAAUCAGGUCACUUAAAGGAACGGCGCUGACUCAGCCACAGCAGCGUUGACUUGAAUGUGGAGAUUAAUACUGAGCAAAACGAAGCACAAACCUUCUGCAGCUAUCUCAUGGCAUAAAACACGUCCCUUCACGUUUGUUUUUUUAAAGAGAAAGAGCUUUAAAAAAUGACUUAAGCCAGUACCAUUCUCAGAUGAAUUUAUUGCAAAGGAAAGAACUCAGAUGAAUUUAUUGCUUGCGCAGAGAGCCCCCACUAAGGUGUUUUUCCUUUUUUCUUUGAUUAAAUAUUGGGUUUACCUUCCUUGCCCAUGCCCUGGUUUAACGUCCAAGUCUAGAACAAUGUUUGUAACUGCUUUCUGGAGGGCUGGCUGAAGUGGCAAACUAAGAUCAAUAAAUGCCCUCUAAGGGAAGGAAUGUAUUUGCCAAUGAAGACGUAGCAGGGUUGAGGAGAAAUUCUGUGGAGAUCUCUGGGGAUCUUCCACUGGGCAGACUGAGCCAAGAUACAAUCACCAACCACCCUGAACCAGAUCAGGCCAGGAGCAGCCAGAGCAGCGCCUGUGCAGAUGAGCAGAGAGAUGACCUGAAGUCGCCCUUUACUUCAUUUUAGUCCUAAGAUCUCUGCUUCAGGAGGAGCUUAGUUCUUAUUACCAUAACAUGCGAUGUAUACGGAAGCACGUUUUCCAACUGAGCCUGCGCAAUUGAAUGCCCACCUCUCCCUUUUGAAUAUUCAUUCCCCAUCUGAAAUAAAAGGCCCCUGCUGCCCGGUGUUCUGUGGAGGCGGGUGGGGGGGGGCAGCUGUGCGUUUGGAGAAGAUUCCACGUGGUCUCCUAUUUGCCGCAAAUAAAUUUUACUUUGUGUGACAACUACCUCUGGAGAAGGCUCUGAUUUCAACUCACCAGGAACUGGACCCAAUUUGCUUUGGUAACACAACCAGAACCUUAAGGCAAAUUAGGAUACUUU